RNAcentral lists this unclassified non-coding RNA (286 nucleotides) under uncultured fungus. RNAcentral's name for it is "partial contains small subunit ribosomal RNA, internal transcribed spacer 1, and 5.8S ribosomal RNA". The stretch from base 1 to 73 matches the Rfam family "Eukaryotic small subunit ribosomal RNA", at positions 1759 to 1831 of the family's 1831-position model. Lineage: Eukaryota; Fungi. The record is from RNAcentral.
GCAAACUUGGUCAUUUAGAGGAAGUAAAAGUCGUAACAAGGUCUCCGUUGGUGAACCAGCGGAGGGAUCAUUGCUGAGCGCUACGGCUCCCAAACCCUUUGUGAACCUUACCACCGUUGCCUCGGCGCGGCCGCGCCGGGGGCCCUCGAACCUCUUAUUUUGCCAGUGGACAUCUCUGAACCCGGCGGCCGGGCGGGACCUAGCGGUACCGCGCGCCGCGGAAGCAAGAAGAAGAACAACUUUCAACAACGGAUCUCUUGGCUCUGGCAUCGAUGAAGAACGCAGC